Non-coding RNA from Nylanderia fulva, 186 nucleotides. The record is from RefSeq and is a predicted model, not a curated record. Lineage: Eukaryota; Metazoa; Arthropoda; Insecta; Hymenoptera; Formicidae.
GACACGUGUCUAUAUAAAAUAUUCCACAAUUUGCGUAUAAUUUCGUAUGUACGACAAUGAAACAGCUUUCAUUGAUUGUUGAAUCUCUUGGAAGCUGAAGAUGCCAAUUGAGAAUGGAUGAAAUUUAUUUAUUAAGAUGAUUUAUCCUCGCUUCAGGAUGAUCAUUGUGCUCCAUUCUUAUCUGAA